AGUGAACGCUGGCGGUAGGCCUAACACAUGCAAGUCGAACGGCAGCACAGUAAGACCUUGCUCUUACGGGUGGCGAGUGGCGGACGGGUUAGGAAUACAUCGGAAUCUACUUUUUCGUGGGGGAUAACGGAGGGAAACUUACGCUAAUACCGCAUACGACCUACGGGUUAAAGCAGGGGAUGUUCGGGCCUUCCGCGAGUGAAUGAGCCGGUGUCUGAUUAGCUAGUUGGCGGGGCAAUGGCCCACCAAGGCGAGGAUCCGUAGCUGGUCCGAGUGGAUGAGCGGCCAAGCUGGGACGGAGACACGGCCCAGACUCCGACGGGAGGCAGCAGUGGGGAAUUUUCCGCAAUGGGAGAAAGCCUGACGGAGCAAUGCCGCGGGGAGGUAGAAGGCCCACGGGUCAAGAACUUCUUUUCCCGGAGAAGAAGCAAUGACGGUAGCUGGGGAAUAAGCAUCGGCUAACUCUGUG
This 469-nucleotide ribosomal RNA is filed under the name uncultured bacterium. RNAcentral's name for it is "partial 16S ribosomal RNA". It matches the Rfam family "Bacterial small subunit ribosomal RNA", at positions 30 to 507 of the family's 1533-position model. The record is from RNAcentral.